GGGGAUUUAGCUCAGUGGCAUAAGUGCCUGCCUUGCAAGCAGGUGGUCGUGAGUUCGAUCCCCA
This 64-nucleotide transfer RNA is filed under the name Cavia porcellus (domestic guinea pig). It matches the Rfam family "tRNA", at positions 1 to 62 of the family's 71-position model. Rfam says of the family: Transfer RNA (tRNA) molecules are approximately 80 nucleotides in length. Their secondary structure includes four short double-helical elements and three loops (D, anti-codon, and T loops). Lineage: Eukaryota; Metazoa; Chordata; Mammalia; Rodentia; Caviidae. The record is from Rfam by way of RNAcentral.